CAUUGAACAGUGCUCAUUGAACUGGCCAUUGAACAAUGAGGUCAGGCAUGGUGUCUGCUGUCACCAGGUCCCUCUGGCUGUGGGUGGAGAGCAGAUUGCAGGAUGCAGGACUAAGUGCAGAGCAGAAAGAGCCAUUAGGAGUCCCAUGCAGUGGCUGGAGAGAGUAGGCAGAGUAGGCUGGUGGCCACGGAGGAUGCAGCAAGUUUAAAGAGAUCACACAUGGAAUGGGGGAAAAGAGUCAGAGGUGAUCCCAGACUUUUACACAAGUGACUCACAGAUGGACUUGUGUUUAAUGGGAAGGAGAAGGUUGAGAAAAGGUGUGUGUGUGUGUGUGUGUGUGUGUGCGUGUGUGUGUGUAUGUGUGUAUUUGUGUAUGUGUGUGUGUGUGUGUGUGUGUGUGCAUGUCCACCAUUCAGCUUCUGACAGGUUCACUGGGGAGGGUCCAUUCACAAUCCAUCAUUAUCAGGGGUGAAUGGUGUGGUGUAUCUCAUCCUGUGACACCCCACUCAGUGUUGCUGACUCUGUCCUGGGGAAGGAGAGCAGGAGCUUCCUAUGGCUGAAAGGAUUGUGGUGAGUACAGGAGUAAUCCUUCACCUCCAGCUGCACAGGCCUGGGGCCCUGAAGCUAAUGACCAUGCACUCAGAUGCUCUGCGGGUCAGCCAUCCAUGCCUCAGCCUCCUGAAAUUCCUGGUACCCCAUGAAUCUUGACCCUCCCUCCUCUUUCUUCUUCCUAUCUCCAAAGGUCACAGCCCAGGUGACUCAGGACCUUUUCCCAUCCUCUGGCACCUGCCUCUUCAUCAACACUUGCCAAAGCAAGCCUUCUCCACCAGUGUGCCCUCCAACCAACCAGGAGGCCAACCUGGCACAGCUCCCUCAGGGGUUCAGACCUAGCACAUCUAGGACCCUCUCUUGAUCUAUGAUGGUGAGAGCUGCAGCAGCCAAAUUGUGCCCGUGAGCCAACGGCUGAAGAAUCAAAAGCCUUACUGCAGGCAUUAUUGAGUGUUGGGACCUCUGCUGACCAUGGGAGUGCAAUCGCUGG
This is a non-coding RNA of Ictidomys tridecemlineatus (thirteen-lined ground squirrel), 1039 nucleotides long. Lineage: Eukaryota; Metazoa; Chordata; Mammalia; Rodentia; Sciuridae. The record is from RefSeq and is a predicted model, not a curated record.